CUUGCUGAGUGUCUGUGGCCCAGGGGAGGAUCCUAUGGCUUAACUGUGGGAGCUGAAAUGUGGUUCACACCCCAAGGGCCUGCGUGGGCUCCUACCACCCUGCUCUGGGUUGAGAGGGCGUUGUUCUGGGAGCACCGGUCAGUUGCUCAUCAACAAACCGUGGGGCAUGAGAUGCCACAUGAGCAAGUGUGGUGGGUCCUGCCCUGUGUGAUUGACCUUAACAGGGAAAUGUGCUGGGACAACCAGGCAUGGCUCUGGUGGGCCCUGUGCAGAGGUGGGAGCUCUGCGUGGUGGUCUGGGCAGCCAGGGCAGCUCCUUGAGGCAGAUGAGGUGACUGAGUCCCCACCAAGGGACCAGCAGGGCGGAGGCUGGAAAGGCGGGCCAGCAGCUCAGGGUGUCCUGGAGCACAUGGCUGGGGCCACAGGAGGAAUAGGAGCCCGGCCCGGGUCCCAAGAUGUUCUACAGCAACCUCUGACUGAUGGAGCCAACCAGGACUGGAGCUGGGGUGGCCAGUGGCCUGGUGACAGAGGUGCAGGUGGACCAAGGUGCCACGAGGUUCAGAGUCUGGUCUGUGUGCUGAGAGCAAGCUGGUGGGGUUUGCUGAGGCCUUGGUGGGUGCGCAGGAUGGCAGCAGUAACAGCGAAGGCCGGUGCUUUUUUCCAAGAAAAAGAAGACGGACGAUGGGCUGGAGGUAAACGGUUUGGUUUUAUCACUUUAAGUGUCUUGAUCAGCCACUUGGAUGUCUUGAGGAGGAAGCUGGACGGGGUCUGGAGCCGUGGUGAGGGUCAAUGGCCAGGCAAAGCCACAUAGCUGCCCCUAAUGAGCCUCCAUGGUGGCGGGUGGACACGGAGCAUCAAAGGGUCAGUCUGAGCCCCAGGUCCUCGCAGUGGAGGCCCCGUCUGUCCUACUAGCUGUUUGGGCAGACCCCGGCAUCCUCCAGCUCUACCCAAUAACGCAGUCCCCUCUGCACCAUCCCCCACCCUGAGCCUCCCCACCUCCCCCAGUGCACAGCAGGUGCUGGCGUCUCAGGGCAGGGACAAGACCCAAGUAAGCCCCGGUCCCCUGUGCCAGGCCAGGGUGUGA
This 1083-nucleotide long non-coding RNA is filed under the name Macaca fascicularis (crab-eating macaque). RNAcentral's name for it is "lncRNA (ENSMFAG00000065288.1)". The record is from RNAcentral. Lineage: Eukaryota; Metazoa; Chordata; Mammalia; Primates; Cercopithecidae.